CCAAGUAACGGGCGGGAUAUGCAUCGCGGUCGAUCGCGUUGGCCCAAUUGAUUGAUGGUGCUUGCACCUGAUUGAUUUUGGUCGCCAACGAGUGGCGGACGGGUGAGUAACACGUAGGUAACCUGCCCAGAAGCGGGGGACAACAUUUGGAAACAGAUGCUAAUACCGCAUAACAACGUUGUUCGCAUGAACAACGCUUAAAAGAUGGCUUCUCGCUAUCACUUCUGGAUGGACCUGCGGUGCAUUAGCUUGUUGGUGGGGUAACGGCCUACCAAGGCGAUGAUGCAUAGCCGAGUUGAGAGACUGAUCGGCCACAAUGGGACUGAGACACGGCCCAUACUCCUACGGGAGGCAGCAGUAGGGAAUCUUCCACAAUGGGCGCAAGCCUGAUGGAGCAACACCGCGUGAGUGAAGAAGGGUUUCGGCUCGUAAAGCUCUGUUGUUAAAGAAGAACACGUAUGAGAGUAACUGUUCAUACGUUGACGGUAUUUAACCAGAAAGUCACGGCUAACUACGUGCCAGCAGCCGCGGUAAUACGUAGGUGGCAAGCGUUAUCCGGAUUUAUUGGGCGUAAAGAGAGUGCAGGCGGUUUUCUAAGUCUGAUGUGAAAGCCUUCGGCUUAACCGGAGAAGUGCAUCGGAAACUGGAUAACUUGAGUGCAGAAGAGGGUAGUGGAACUCCAUGUGUAGCGGUGGAAUGCGUAGAUAUAUGGAAGAACACCAGUGGCGAAAGGCGGCUACCUGGUCUGCAACUGACGCUGAGACUCGAAAGCAUGGGUAGCGAACAGGGAUUAGAUACCCUGGUAGUCCAUGCCCGUAAACGAUGAGUGCUAGUGUGGAGGGUUUCCGCCCUUCAGUGCCGGAGCUAACGCAUAGCACCUCCGGCCUGGGGGAGUACGACCGCCAAGGUUUGAAACCUCAAAGGAAAUUG
Molecule: ribosomal RNA, 930 nt
Filed under: Limosilactobacillus fermentum
Lineage: Bacteria; Bacillati; Bacillota; Bacilli; Lactobacillales; Lactobacillaceae
Description: bacterial SSU rRNA
Rfam family: Bacterial small subunit ribosomal RNA
Source: RNAcentral